RNAcentral lists this transfer RNA (66 nucleotides) under Loxodonta africana (African savanna elephant). It matches the Rfam family "tRNA". From Rfam's summary of the family: Transfer RNA (tRNA) molecules are approximately 80 nucleotides in length. Their secondary structure includes four short double-helical elements and three loops (D, anti-codon, and T loops). Lineage: Eukaryota; Metazoa; Chordata; Mammalia; Proboscidea; Elephantidae. The record is from Rfam by way of RNAcentral.
GGGCUCAGUGGUUAAAGCACUUGGCUGCUAACCAAAAGGUUGGUGGUUUGAACCUAUCAUCAGCCA